RNAcentral lists this ribosomal RNA (41 nucleotides) under Balanophora laxiflora. RNAcentral's name for it is "partial 28S ribosomal RNA". Lineage: Eukaryota; Viridiplantae; Streptophyta; Magnoliopsida; Santalales; Balanophoraceae. The record is from RNAcentral.
UUACCCCAACUUAAGUAAGAUUACCCGCUGAAUUUAAGCAU